Molecule: long non-coding RNA, 506 nt
Filed under: Nicotiana tabacum (common tobacco)
Lineage: Eukaryota; Viridiplantae; Streptophyta; Magnoliopsida; Solanales; Solanaceae
Description: long non-coding RNA (NTAB_LNC017536)
Source: RNAcentral
UUUCAAAACUUUUCUUAAUUAGAUUAAAAUUUAAAUGAUGACAUUAAAUGAUCCUAUUUGUGCAAAUCACCCUUAAAUUAAUUGCUCUAUAUUAUUUUAGAGUUAGAAGUCAGCAGAAGGGCCUGGUUGGGCCGGAAAGACAUGGCCCUGAUCAGUGACCAGGGCUGGUACUAGCCCAAAUCCCUAUUAGGUACGUGGAUCCAUACAACUUGGGAAGAACAGCUAUCUUAUUAUAUUAUAUUGAUGUUCAUGAUGUUUUCCUGAGCCGAUCUAUUUUUAUCGUAAUUUUUUUUAUCUGAAUACUAAUUCAUUCCUUUAUCAAUAUAUAAAGUUACGGAGCAAUGCGUGCAUCCAGAGGCAGAUCCAGGAUUUAGGGGUUACGGGUGCCGACCUAAUCGAUGUGAUCAACUCGAGCGUCGGUUCGGGGUAUAUAAACAAAUAGAUCAAACAAAAGAAAAUAUAAUAACUAUAACUAAUUGACGCAAAGCAUAAAACUUCCAACAAUA